RNAcentral lists this long non-coding RNA (2316 nucleotides) under Lepisosteus oculatus (spotted gar). RNAcentral describes it as "lncRNA (ENSLOCG00000021543.1)". Lineage: Eukaryota; Metazoa; Chordata; Actinopteri; Semionotiformes; Lepisosteidae. The record is from RNAcentral.
GCCCGCCUCCCUGCGAGCCGAUCUCGGUCCGCUCCGAGGGAAGGGAAAAUAAAGCAUGUUUGUGUGAGAGCGCGCUGUCACAAGAGGCGAGGGAGGGGGGUAGGGUGGACUCCGGUUCGGGUGAGGGGGUGGGCUCGGUGGAUCGAGAGGGAGAGAGGACCUGGCCCUUUAAAUAGAUCAACCAUUCGGUGGGAAGAGACGUUAGCCUGGAGACUCUCCGAAAAAGCUGAGCUUACUGUACGUUUGCCCUGGUCAAGGAACAGUUUGAGACCAAGCGAAAAGCGUGAGGCCAUACAAAACCUUGGUGGCCAGCCAGCAGGACGUGCGUGCUCCGGGUUUCACAUCAUGUCCGGAUUGUAUGGCCUUGUCCAUAGGUGGCAUCCCUGUGGAAUUGCACCAAAGGAAGAAUGCAGUGUGAAGUUAUGCCUGACUGUGGCUAGCUGCCGCCAGGACUGAACAGCGACGGUUUUGAUUAACGCCGCAUAAUUCCCCCACCGCGCUUUGAAGAACAGUCUUGGAAAAUCAGAUCAGAAAUAUGGCAAGAAUUAUUUCCAAGCACAGAAUUACUGGCAUACCUGCCCUAGUGGCUCCUUUUCAAGUUAUGUGGUUUCAGAUAUCUCUAGGCUAAUAAAACCUCUUCCUGUCUUACAACAGGUGCCAUAAAAGAAGUCAAAUGCUUGUGCUUUUGUCAGACAAAAUACAGCAGGUGGGGCUAGCACUAAAACAAAACAGUUUCAUUGCUGGCUUGUGGAGAAAACUGCAUCCCACAUAGUUUGGAUUCAUUGGACUGCUCUGAGCUGUUGGCCACAUGUGUCCCCUUUAAGGUGAACUGUCGCAGAAUAGCCAUGAUAAUGCUGGAGUCAAAUGAGAUUACAGGCACAGGUAGGCGUAAAGCAGGAGACAAUGGAGAGUGGCAGAGAUAUCUCUGGACUAACUGGAGGGAUGUGGGUUCAUGGCAUCGCUGAGCAAGGUACUUCACCAGGAUUGCUUCGGUCAGCUCAGCUAUGUGAGGUAUCUCUGUAACUCAGGUUGCAUCCUAUCCAAAGAUAUUAAGGUGUGAUUUUCAGCUCAACUUGCUUGCCCUCUGAAAUGCUAAGGACACAUAGUUUAGCAAGGUCAUGGGUCCAAGAACUGUUGCAGCUUUGUUUGAUCCAACACAAUGUGCAGAGGUGAUCAGUAAACCUCUGAGUUGUUACUGCAGGCCAGACGAAGGAAAACACACACUUGGGCCCAGCAAUGCGUGCCCUUUGCCAGCUACUGGCCACCACUUAGAGGAAUUCUAAUGGAUUUGCAAAUGGGCAAUGACCCAGUUCAGAUUUGAAUCCACAUCUUCUGAAACUACAGGGACUACCCAGCAUUUUACACAGAAGCCUUCUCCAUCUUUCCAGGACCUGUGAUUACAACACUCUCAGAGUACUGCAGAGGAGAGAUAGAGGCAAUCUGUGAAAUUACAGACUAUAGCCAGGUCAUACUGGAAACUGAAUGGUGAUAAGUUUCUAACUGUUGAGUCUCACACAAUACUGCGUAUUGUACAGAUCCAUUCAGUUCAGAAAAUCUAGAGUUCUUCAGAACUUGUGGGGAGACUAUAAUAUAAUUUUGGACUUUGAAACUCAAGAACAGUUCUAAACAGGAGGAAGCCAUUUGGCCUGUUUUGUAGUUAGAGCUCUGAAGUUCUGCUCCAGGUGUUUCCUGAAGAAAGAGAAGGUGUCGGCUUCAAUCACAUGGCUGGGUAGAUUGCUCUGCGAUCUGUGAUCCUAUUAUAUUUUGUUAUAUCCACCUGUUUUGGAAAAGCAUGUGUGCGUUUCACAUCUCUACCCACACCUACAAACACACGGGCAGCAGCAGGCCGGCCCCCAGGAAGCACGGCGCCGUGCUGCAGCUUCAGCGCUGACUGGAGGAGAGGCGCGAUCCUUACCGACAGGCGGCUGCAGGGGGCGCUAUCACUGCCACUGAGCGCUGGCAGAGCCCUGGUGGACUCAUCCCGCCCAAUCCUCUGCACCGCUCAGCCACUUCCUGGGGGAAUCCUGGUCACAGUCGGCCAGUGACGGGCCCAGAGCUCGAACCUAUGAUCUCGGAAAGAGCAGCUUUAUUGCUCUUGAGCCACUUGGGAAGGGUUCACAUUUCACCCACUUUUAAAAAGCAAACAUGAGCUUCAGCUUUUUUUCCUCUUUAAUUACAUUUCUCUGCUGCCUUUCAUUUAAGCCCUGAGCUGCAAAACACCCAAAUUUCACAAAAGGUGGCACAAAGGCAUCAGGCUGAGUUACAGCCUCGUGUGACAAAGACCUCAAGCUGCAGAACAUGAGGACUGCCCGGGCU